Molecule: non-coding RNA, 83 nt
Organism: Canis lupus familiaris (dog)
Lineage: Eukaryota; Metazoa; Chordata; Mammalia; Carnivora; Canidae
Source: Rfam
GCCUGGGUGGCUCAGUGGUUGAGCAUCUGCCUUCAGCUCAGGUCAUGAUCCCGGGGUCCUGGGAUCGAGUCCCACAUCAGGCU